GUAGCAUUAAAGGAGUUCGGUGAUGCACGUCUGAAAACCCACAUACUAACAAUUUUGAAGAGUACACAAUCAAGGAAAAAAUUUAGCUCUUCGUCAAGUUCAGAUACUGGAGAAAAGAAGAAUGGGACAUCAUUUCCAGAUGAGAAUGUGUAUGCACCGGCCGAACUAUUUGGAAUUAUCGCUGAAUGUGAGAGGCAAGCAAGGCCUGGAGAAGCUCUUCUUCUGCAAGCGAAGAAUUUAUGCUGGUCACUUUUGGCUGCAAUUGCUUCUUGUUUUCCAGAUGUCUCUUCGUUGUCUUGCCUGACAGUUUGGCUAGAAAUAACUGCAGCAAGGGAAACAUCAGCCAUCAAAGUUAAUAAUGCUGCUUCCCAGAUUGCAAACAAUGUCGCGGCUGCUGU
This 398-nucleotide unclassified non-coding RNA is filed under the name Hevea brasiliensis (rubber tree). The record is from RNAcentral. Lineage: Eukaryota; Viridiplantae; Streptophyta; Magnoliopsida; Malpighiales; Euphorbiaceae.